Octopus sinensis (East Asian common octopus) is the source of this 207-nucleotide long non-coding RNA. RefSeq lists it as uncharacterized. NCBI's taxonomy places the organism in Eukaryota, Metazoa, Mollusca, Cephalopoda, Octopoda, Octopodidae. The record is from RefSeq and is a predicted model, not a curated record. The transcript is spliced from 3 exons.
GGUACCAAAUGACCAGUUCAAAAGUAUCUUUACCACUCCGUUGGAACACAGACAAGUGAACGAACCAGUGGACUUCUUUGCCGCCUCACCAAUAACCAGCGAGGCAUUUACGAUGGAAUACAUCGACAUUAGCAAAGAACAUUAUUUACAUUUGACGGAUAUUUGGAACUUGUAGUUCUUGCUAACAACAACAUUACAGCUGAUAUC